Molecule: long non-coding RNA, 2735 nt
Organism: Pieris brassicae (large cabbage white)
Lineage: Eukaryota; Metazoa; Arthropoda; Insecta; Lepidoptera; Pieridae
Exons: 3
Source: RefSeq, a predicted model, not a curated record
UUCUAUAUUAAUUCUUUAAAUUAUUUAUGAUUGUAACAAGCCCCGAUGUAUCUCUGACGUUAUUCCUGAGAAUUAAUAAUAUUGUUUUGAUAACAAUAAGUUAUGUUUGUUUCUCAGAUGCCAUGCCUACUUAGCAAAGGGACAAAAGGCCAAGAGACUUACCUGAUGUUAAGUGGUAUCGCCGCUUAUGGAUACUCAUAUUGCCAGGAGGCUCGGCCUUUUAAGAAUUGGUAUACUCCUUUGCUGCAGGACCAGUCUAUUAAAAUUUCUUGUGAGCACCUGGAAUCUAUGUGAUUUUGGCCUAAUUGUUAUAUUCGAUGUAUUCUGUGUAUUAAAAGAAUUAAUUCUUUUUUUAAAGACCUUAUAAGCAUCUUACCCAAAAUAUUAUUGCAUACAUAUAACCGGGAGAAUUGUAAAUCUGGUUUUAACCAGCGACAUACUUUCGUCGUUACUUAUUUAUGGGAAUAUUUAUUUGCCGUAUUUUGUAGUUGUAGUAUCUUUAAGAUCUAUAUAGUGGAAAGAUGCAGUUUUGGAUAUUUUACAAUAAUUUUCACGUACCUUAAGGGAGACAUGCAUGCGUAUCGAGCGUGGAUCGGCCAUGGUGCGCAUGCGACACUGUCGUGUUUAUUGUCCUCGAGUAAUAAACGUGUUUAAUUCAACAUCCUUCUGUACUUCAUGCGUCUAUUAUGAUUCAUAUCGAUAUGGCUACUACUUUUGAGUGUACAUAUUUUAAAAUCUCUUUCUGAUAUUGUUUUGAUAUCAAUAAAAAAUUCAGAAUACAGGUUUAAAGAAUUAUGAUUUUAACAAUAGUUUACUAAUUUUACUUACUUUAACAAUUUUAAAUAGCUGAGUUCUGUGGUUCCAGCCGCAUUAAUAGCACGAUGUUCUAUAACCUGAAGUUCUCCGUAAAUAGACUAUAAGCAAAAAGUUACGCAUACGGUCUCGGAUCGCGGACUUUUUUAUAUUGAUAUCUUCUAUAAAACUGUAGUACAUCAGUUUGCUCUUUUUUAUAAUAGCUUUCGCAGCGUCCGCGAUUUAGAAAUUUUUAUUGGUUCUUUUUGAAAUGGAACCUUUUUUAAAUAUUCUAUAGCUUAUGUUCACCAGAAACGUAGGGUUCUAAUGGUAAAACAAUCAGUCUUGUAGUUUUCGAGCCUUUGCGAAUGUAUAUAAAACUUAAUUACACCAGAUAUUUGUUCUAGUUAAAAAUGUGUUCUAGUUAAAUAUGUGUGUUAUUUGUCCGGGACGAUUAAAGGUUCUAUAUGACGUCUAUUUUACUCGGCUUGUUUACCUUACACCUUUAAGUUUUAAUCUGUAUGAAUAUUUCAUGCCGAUGGUUUUGUUAUUCGCACAUGGCUUGGUGUUUGUGAUCGGUUUGUUUACAUGUUGUGCUGCAACCUUGGAACCUGUUAUCAGCAUAAUAAGCAGCUCAUACCUAAUUAGAUGUCGUUAUAUUAUUACGUUUAACAUUCAUUACUUCAUUUUGAGUCAUUGGCUAUAAUUUUUUUAUUAGCAAUACCAAUACACUUGAGACAAAAUCACUUUUCAACAGGCGUGACUCACUAACACAAAUCGAACUUGUAUGAAAUUGGUCAAGUGAUAAACGUGAGAUAAUGUCAAUUCCAUACAAAUUGUCCAUAAACCAUUGUCUAUGGUAGGAUGUUGUUAAGAACACUAAAACAUAUCAAGGUACGUAGCAUUCAUAUGUGAAUACAAUCAAAAGAAAGAAAAGAAACAAACAUGUCCAUACUAAAACGGUUACAGGUAAAAAUCGUCUUUCGACACUUUGUUACCAACGUAUCCUGAGUUUUUUGGACAUGUAACAUGCAGAGAUUCAGUAUGUUUAGGAAAACUCAUCGAGACUAGUAGAGUGUAGGGCACCAGACCUCAAGGCCGAUCCCUUAAUCGCGGGACCGAUCAAGCAAACGCCAUUUACAGGUCUUACCAUCACCCAGGCUCAGAGGCUUGCCGAAGACAGGGGAGAGACUAGGCUCUCCGCUUAGAUAUGUAUAGAAGUACCGCGACUAAAUCUCUCUCAUUUCCAGACUCGGGGGCUGUCAUCAAAAUCCACGACUUAAUUUGAAGUGAGAGUGAGAGCAAUCCAUGUGGUAUGAAAUUAUUUCAGAAUUAGUACUAUUGUUAUUUUCUUAUAUAGCCAAGUUCACAUUCCAAGGAUCGUUAUGUUAUAUGUUCAUAAGUGUACAUUGUGUUACCUAAAUGAAAAAAAGUUGUACGGCGCCACUAACAUGAUCUUCAGAAAUGAAGAAUGUGACUGAAGAAGAAGCUGACUAACUAGUAAUCCAGGCGACAGCGAUAGCGACCUGAUUGUAUGCUAUUCGCUGCAUUUCUCCGAACAUAUCCCAACCUUGAGAUGGCGCGAAAAAGAAACUCGACGAAAAUGGGUGAAAAAUAGCUGCUAGCACUUUGAGGAAGAGUUGACCUGUGUGUGUGGGUAUUCCCUUGAGAUUAUGCUGGUUUUUAGAAAGAAAAUAGUUUAUGAAGUUCCCGGGGCUUAUCAUUGUUUUUUUUAGCAGACAAGUAAGUGUUCAAACUUCUCUCUUUUAUAAACAAGCAAGUGUCAACUUAGUACUUGAUAAUAUUUUAAAAACGUUUUCUGUUUAAUGACUAUAGAACCAAUAGUAACUGUUAUUUCUUAUUCUCACAGAAUUAACUGGCUUUAAAAAUUCAAAUGUAACAUUCAUAAUUUCAAACGCCAAAACGCUUCUCUAGACAAGGUG